Molecule: ribosomal RNA, 495 nt
Filed under: Acinetobacter septicus
Lineage: Bacteria; Pseudomonadati; Pseudomonadota; Gammaproteobacteria; Moraxellales; Moraxellaceae
Description: bacterial SSU rRNA
Rfam family: Bacterial small subunit ribosomal RNA
Source: RNAcentral
GUUUUCUNAUGCAACGUAAAGACCUUUACCUAGUCUUUUCAUAGUAAGAAGGGGGGGAGGUGGCUCCGCGCCUUCGGGAGCUUACAUACAGGUNANGCAUAGAAAUCGUCAGCUCGUGUCGUGAGAUGUUGGGUUAAGUCCCGCAACGAGCGCAACCCUUUUCCUUAUUUGCCAGCACUUUGGGUGGGAACUUUAAGGAUACUGCCAGUGACAAACUGGAGGAAGGCGGGGACGACGUCAAGUCAUCAUGGCCCUUACGACCAGGGCUACACACGUGCUACAAUGGUCGGUACAAAGGGUUGCUACCUAGCGAUAGGAUGCUAAUCUCAAAAAGCCGAUCGUAGUCCGGAUUGGAGUCUGCAACUCGACUCCAUGAAGUCGGAAUCGCUAGUAAUCGCGGAUCAGAAUGCCGCGGUGAAUACGUUCCCGGGCCUUGUACACACCGCCCGUCACACCAUGGGAGUUUGUUGCACCCAGAAAGUGGGAUAGUCUAAU